Molecule: long non-coding RNA, 1052 nt
Organism: Brassica oleracea var. oleracea
Lineage: Eukaryota; Viridiplantae; Streptophyta; Magnoliopsida; Brassicales; Brassicaceae
Exons: 2
Source: RefSeq, a predicted model, not a curated record
GAAAAUCUAAAAAAAAAAUCAUUAAUCCUAAUUUUUAGUUCUCUUCUCUCUCAGCCGUCACACAAACCCAUCUCAGAUCUAGUAGCCAAGCAAAAUCUCUCUCUCCCAUGCAUCUCUCUCUCUGACGCCAGAGCUCUCAAUCUCUAGCAGGACCUCUCUCAAGCUCCCUCCUCUCUCUUGCUCGCCUUCAGAUCUCCUCUCUAGCCGGAUUCUCUCUCUCCCGUGCCUCUCUCUCUCGCCGGACCUCCCUCACGGUUAGCUCUCUCUCUUGGUGUAGGAUGGUGUAGAAGAAGCAUGGCAGAAGAUGAUGUAGAAGAAGCUUGACGGAGGAGGCUCCUCGCCGUGACUUCUCCAACGACUUAAACCGUUGAGAAGCUUAUCGCUGUCAAUCCCUUCAACCCUGAGAUCUUACCUGAUCUUAUGAACACUCGUAUGGUAGCUUGAAUCUUGGUCAAGAGCAUUUGGUGGGAAAGAUUCCCCCUGUCUCGGAGAGUAACCAGGUGGAAGAUUCAUAUAUAUUUCCUCCUCUAAAUCUCCAUUGAGGAAGGCAUUUGAUAUGUCUAGUUGAGAGAGAGACCAGCCCUUUGCAGCCGCAACAGCAGUAAGAAGUCCCUAUAUGGAUUCAAACAGGCAUCUCGCCAAUGGUUCUUGAAAUUCACAGCUGCUUUACAUCAGUUAGGAUUCAAGACUUCUUCUGGCGAUCACACACUUUUCAUCAAGAAUUCUGGCAAUGUUUACAUGGCUGUCUUGGUCUAUGUUGAUGAUAUUAUAAUUGCCAGUAGUUGUGAUCAUGCCAAGGCGCUCUUAAAAACAGCUCUUGAAGCUUCUUUUAAACUCAGAGACUUGGGUACACUUCGAUAUUUCUUUCUUGGGGUAGAGAUCGCUCGUUCUUCUGCUGGGAUUACUCUAUGUCAACGCAAAUACAAUGUGAAAUCUAUAUAAACCAAUACUUUCUUCUAUUUUCUCUGAUGUUUAUGUGAAUUUUCAUUGGUUUAGUCGUUUCUUGUGAUUAUGUAAACCAUAUAUCGAAUAAAAAUAAGAACUUUUAGAUA